RNAcentral lists this transfer RNA (74 nucleotides) under Caldilineaceae bacterium SB0661_bin_34. RNAcentral's name for it is "tRNA-Lys". It matches the Rfam family "tRNA". From Rfam's summary of the family: Transfer RNA (tRNA) molecules are approximately 80 nucleotides in length. The record is from RNAcentral. Lineage: Bacteria; Bacillati; Chloroflexota; Caldilineae; Caldilineales; Caldilineaceae. RNAcentral also lists the same sequence under 3 other names.
GGGCCCCUAGCUCAAUUUGGCAGAGCAACGGACUUUUAAUCCGUGGGUUCUGGGUUCGAGUCCCAGGGGGCUCA